Long non-coding RNA from Homo sapiens (human), 6452 nucleotides. RefSeq lists it as uncharacterized. The record is from RefSeq and is a predicted model, not a curated record. The transcript is spliced from 2 exons. NCBI's taxonomy places the organism in Eukaryota, Metazoa, Chordata, Mammalia, Primates, Hominidae.
CAACUGCCCCUCCCCCACACCUUUCUGCGUGGCACAUGGAAAAUUGAAAGUAUCUCUGGUUGCUUCUGCGUAGGAAUGUAACUUUGUAACCAAUCAGACGGAUCGCAGGCCAAGUCGCCUGCAUAGAAAUGUAACUUUGUAACUUCACUUUAGCCUCUGAUUGGUUGCUUUCCACAACCAAUCAGAUGCUUGCAUAGGGUGUACCUGUUGUGACUUCACAAAGUGGUGGAAGUGGUGGAAGUGGUGGAAGGGUGGAAGGGCUAUUUAAAUUUUUAUUCAUCCUCUGAUUGGUUGUUUCACUUAAGCCUCUAAUUGGUUCUUGAGUCCUGGAGCCUGUGAAGGGUACUUUAUUUUCAGUAAAUGCAUGCUUUUUUUGCUUCAUUCUUUCCUUGCUUUGUGCAUUUUGUUCAGUUCUUAGUUCAAGACACCAAGAGCCUGGACACCCUCCACUGGUAACAAAAGUAACUGGUGUUUUUGCCAUUAGAAGUAAUGGCACAGAACAAGUACAUGAGAGCGAUUUCUUAUGGAAAAUUAAAUGGCGCAUAAGUCGUGUGCUCAGGUCCGGCGGGGGCGGGACUUUAAAGGUAAAAACAGCAAUUACUUUUGCACCAACUUAUCUUCUAAGUUUCGCUCCCUACCACCUGAGUGUGUUUGGAGGCUCUGGCUCAUUGUACCUGCCUGAUCACCAGGUGCAAGUAGCUGGGCCAGAAGGACCUCGGCACGUUACGGAAUAUUUACUACAGGAACAGGUGAGCUGAAGGCGAAUUCCCCAGGUGUAGCCUGUGACCAUAGAUUCAGACAAAGCCCUGACUGUUGCCUGGAAUUCAAAAAAGCUGUAGCCCUACCAGAUAGAAUAAGAAAAGAAUAUAGGAUUCUUCCUAUUCAAAUAGGUUGCAUAUAAUUAAGAGCAUGAACGAUCCAAUGGAAUGAACUCAAAGUAGUUUUUGAGUGUAAUAGACUUGAAGUGUCUUAUGGAAAAGAAUUGCAAAACCACAGAAACAGUGAAGAAGGUUAGUUAUAGCCUUGAUGGGGUAGCUGACUUCAGCAGUCUCAGCUAUCUGAAAAGUUAUUUACCAGAUUUUGGUUGGGAACAUAAUCCCUAAAUCAUUUGAGAUAAUGUACUUGUUUCCUUACUGGGUAAAUGUGUUUAAACCUUGAGAAAAUGUAGACAUAAGUAGAAUAUAGAAUAAAUUAAACCUUUGGUAGUUAUGUUUUAGGAUUAAGGACUAAUAAGUACAUAUUUGAUAUUUAAGCAUUUGUAAUGCUUGAGAUAAUUUAUCCUACUCAAGUAACAGAUUACUCUUGUGACUCCAAUGUAAAAUAUAUCAUUGAAAAAUUAGUAUCUGCUUGUGAUUUUUAAGUAGAAACCCUGCCAUUUGAAAGGUAUUUGCCUUUAUUAUUGGAGAUAUUUCAUAUGAAUGUUUAACUUUGUUAUUGCAUAGAAGUAUUUAAACAGAUUUCACUUGCAAGAGAAAGAUAUCUAAUAGGUUACUCUUAAUCAGUACUAAAUUACUACAAUUACUAUAUUCUAUUAAUAUCGAUUCAUUAAAACCCAGAGCUUUAAUUAUGUCUCAGAAAAUUAAUUAAACUUUAGCCUCAUAAUCAGCUUUAUUUUCUAACUCAAUGUUUAAAAAUUGACAAGUAUGUAUUAUACUUAUUUAUGUCUUCAUUCAGUAAACAUUUGCAUUUGUAGCAUGCAAGACAACAUGCUAGACACACGAAAGAUGGAAUAAAUGGAAGAAAAUGCAACACAGAUCUCAUGCUUAAGAGGGACAGAUUUACUCUGAAGAUUCAAUGAAAAAACAUCCACAAACAACUUUUCUACAAGAAACAAAACAUUUUAAAGAAAACAUUUACUUCAGCCGGGCGCGGUGGCUUACGCCUGUAAUCCCAGCACUUUGGGAGGGCGAGGCGGGUGCAUCACGAGGUCAGAAGUUCGAAACCAGACUGGCCAGUAUGGUGAAACUGUGUCUCUACUAAAAAUACAAAAAUUAGCCUGGCGUGGUGGUGUGUGCCUGUGAUCCCAGCUACUCAGGAGGCUGAGGCAGGAGAAUCGCUUGAACCUGGGAGGCAGAGGUUGCAGUGAGCUGAGAUCAGGCCAUUGUGCUCCAGCCUGGGCAACAGAGCGAGACUCCGACUCAAAAAAAAAAAAAAGAAAAAAGAAAAAAAGAAAACAUUUACUUCACAUAAUAAGAUAUGAGAAAAAAUGGACUCUCUGAAUGAAAAAAAGAGGAGAUCAUGUGAAAGAUUUGCGCUUUUUUUUUUUUUAAAGUUAUGGACUGAAACACUCCUAAUCAUUAACAUUUGUUAUUUUAGGGGAGUGGAAUUGGAAAGGUGGAAAGGGCUAUUUACAUUUUUAUAAUCUCCAUGUCUUUUAAAUCAAUAUAUAUUGCAUUUAUUCUUUUAGUUAAAAUUUUAAGAACUCUAUAAAAAAUAGAGACAGGGACUCCCUUUGUUACCCAGGCUGGUCUCAAACUCCUGGGAUUAAGUGAUCCUCCCACCUCAAUUAGAAGGGUGGAAGGGCCAGCUGUUUAAGUUUCUAUAAUCUCUGUUAAAUCAAAUGUAUAUUGCAUUUAUUAUUUUAAAUUUUAAAAACUUUUUUAAAAAUAGAGAUGGGAUCUUCCUAUGUUGUCCAGGCUGGUUGUGAGCUCCUAGGAUCAAGUGAUUCUCCCGCCUUGACCUUUCAAAGAGCUGGGAUUACAGGCAUGAGCCACCAUGCCCAGCCUAUUUAUUUGUUUAUUUAUUUUUAGAGGCAGGGUCUCACUCUCACUAGACUGAAGUGCAGUGGUGUGAUCAUAGCUCACUGCAGUCUCAAACUCCUGGACUCAAGCAAUCAACUAGCCUCAGCCUCUGAGUACUGAGAUGACAGGCAUGUGCCUUCAUACCCAGCUAAUAUUUUUGUAGAGAUGGGGUCUUCCUGUGUUGCCCGGAAGAGUCUCAAACUCUUGGCCUCAGCCUCCCAAAGCACUGGGAUUGCAGGCAUGAGCCACAACACAUGGCCCUGCUUUUAAAAAAUAUAUAGUGGGCCAGGCUUUCUGGGAUGAUGGGCAACCAUUACAUUUGCUUUCUCUCCAUUCUGAAUGUCAGCCUCCAUACACCUCUCUUGAGCCAUCUCUUGAUGCCCAGGACUGGCAGGCAAGCAGGAUGUUAGGGUGCUGGCUGGAGGGCUGGAAAGCCCCAGGGCAAGGAUAUGAACGUGAAGGAUUUUAAGGAGAUUCUUGGACCUCAAGGGAACUUUUGGUCCUGGUUUCCUAGAGUAUGUUAGAUCUUCUUGGCCCCCAAAGAAUCAAGGAAAAGCUGAAUAGGUGGACCGAAUCCUUUCCAGCACUGAGGCUGGGAGAACUCUAUGACACCAGUGGGUGCUCAUCCUGGUGCUGCCAUGGACCUGACUACCUACGUCCGCUAAACUCUCCAGCAGCUGAGCCUUCAAGAGAAGACGUCCUCCACCUUUUCCAUGAGAUGAAGAAUCCUUGGGGCCAGGGGAUGUGCUCACUAGCUCACACCUGUCUCCAUCCUCUAGACCAUGCUUGCAGUACACAGGACCCCAGAAUGCCUGGCCCAAACACUCGUGAGCCUCCAGGGGCUGCAGGGGCUUCUGGCCUUGUUUCCCCAUCUGAUGAGUUCGUUUCUUGGUCUGAAAGAUUGUGACAGUUACUACGAGACUGAAUGAAGGGGGAUGAAUGCAGAAAUGAAAACUUAAGACAAAAGUAACUUUUAAUGAGAGGGGCCGAGGGAAGAAGAAGAGGGCUCCCUGCUUCUAAUGAGCAAAGGCAGCCACCCUGAGCUUCUACAGCCCUUCGUAUUUAUUGAGUAGAAAGAGCAGGGAGGAGGAGGUAAUGAUUGGUCAGCUGCUGGAUUGAUCACAGGUUCAUAUUAUUGCUAACAGGCUUCAGAUGUGCCUGAUCACAAGAAACACUUGCGCCUGGGCAUGACUGCCCUCAGCAUUCCUUCUGGGCGGCAGAUGCAGUUUGUCAGUUUGCUAACAACCUGCUUUCAUGAGAACAGUUUGCUGCUUACUUACACAGCCACCAGUGAUUUACUGAGUUGAUCACGACCCUCACUCUUUCGGCCUCCAACAAAAGACGAUCAAAGAAUGGUUGUUUGCAGAGGUUAUGGACAAGACUUGAUGUCCAGGCCGAGUGUCCGUAUGCACAGGAGCCUCUUGGUGGUGCAGAGUGAAGCCAGAGGAGGAGGAGUGGGUUGUGUCCAUGGGCUGAUUCUCCCUGCACCAACAGGACAGAAUCCUAAGGAAUCCGAGCAUUUGAAAUUCAAAUCUGGUCUUACAGGUUGUUAUGUAUUUGUCUAGGUAGGAGGCUAGAAUGUAUUGAAAUGGGGUUAGCCUGACAUAUUUAUAUAUUUCAUAUUUAGGCUUCCAUUUGUUCCUUUGUCUUGGGUCCCAAAAAUAUAUUAGAGGUGGGCCUGUCUGUUCUCUUGGACACGAGGACCUCAACGAGUUUCCACUGUUCUCUGAAUGUUUCCUUCCUGGUUUUCUGUGUAUACAAUAAUUCCUAGUUUUCUGUUAUUUACAAUUUUACUUCCACUUUUUAAAGACAAAAAUGUAUGUUUUUUUAGUCAAUAUUGAUAUAGUGGACCAAUAUAUUUUACCGUUAUUUUUGCUUACUGUUUUUGUUUUUUUGCCUUCCUCAUCUUCUCACUAAGUUUGUCUGACUACAGCCACACACCAUUCAUUCAAUACCAACUCUUUUUUAUUUUUAUUUUUUGGAGAGAGGGUCUCACUCUGUCACCCAGGCUGGAGUGCAGUGGCAUGAUCUUGGUUCACUGCAGUCUCAAACUCUUGGACUCAAAUGUUCUUCCUGCCUCAGCCUCCUGAGUAGCUGGGACCACAGGUGCACACGACCAUGCCUGGCUAAUUAAAAACAAAACAAUUUUUUUUUUUUUAGAGACGGGGUCUCACUAUGUUGCCUAGGCUGGUUUCAAACUCCUGGGGUCAAGUGAUCCAAUACCAACUCAACAGGUGGUGAGACCCAGUGGUCUAGACAAACAGCCACAUAGCAAUAUGUUUUUCUCCAUGAUUCAUAUCCAUGUUCGUUUGUUACAAAAUAACAGGCAUGAACAUUUUCUUCAGAGAGGGAGAUCCCCACUUAUCCAUUAAUGACUCAUUUGGUGUCCAUUCCAAACUAUUAAACUGCAAAAGCAGACAUGAGAAAAGAAACUUAAGUCAAUGUUUUUAUCACAUGUUGGUGCCAGCGUCCCAUAGUGGUGCUAAAUUUAUGAAAUUGCAACAAAACAAAAACCCAAACAACCCAACAACGAAAAGCUAUUUAGUGAACACCGUGACUAACAAGCUUAUUAGAACUGCUUAUCAGAGCUAUGUGUGGAUUUUGUAGGGGGAAAGAUUUUCUUCCCUCGUAGACAUUUUGCAAAAUAAAAGUAAAAUAUUACCUUUAUGUACGUGGUAGAUAGAAUUCCACAAGCUUCAAAUUCAACGACUCAAAAAUGUUGCUUUUACUUUCCAUAUCUCAGAAGUCACUUUUAUUUUAUUUAUUUUUUAGAGAUAGGGUCUCGCUCUGUUGCCCAAGCUGGAGUUGCAGUGGCACAAUCAUAGCUCACUGCAGCCUUGAACUCCUGGGCUCAAGCAGUCCUCUUAUCUCAGCAUCCUGAGUAGCUGGGACUACAGGCGCAUACCACCACUCCUAGCUGAUUUUUAAAUUCUGUGUAGACAUAGGAUCUUGCUGUACUGCCCAGGCUAGUCUUGAACUCUUGGCCUCAAGUGAUCCUCCCACCUUGGCCUCCUAAAGUGCCGGGAUUGCAGGUGUGAGCCACCAUACCUGCCCAGAAAUCUCUUAUUUUAAACCCCAAUUCCUCCUGAUAGUAAAAAAAAAAAAAAAAAAAAAAAAAAAAAAAUGUCAUCUUGGUGUAUUUUGGGUAGGCUGGAUCACUUCAAGUUUCCCCCUCCUCCUGAAGCUCCGACAGAGGCCUGCAAGCCCUGCUGGGAUCUGUCCUCAGUCCCUCUCGGGCUCAUCUUCUACCAUCUUGCUGUCACUCCAUCUCCCUGUCCUUCCCUUUGCUUCACCCAUACCAGACCCUGUACUGUUUCUGGAAGACACCAGGCAUGCUGUGUCUUAGGGGAGAAUGUGAUUUCACCAACUAGUGCUGCCCAAGUAACAUGCAUUUGCCCUGACUGCUCUUUUCACCUGCUGUGCUGUUCCCCCAGAUAACCACAGGCAAACCCCGCCAACUCCUAGUUUAUUGAACUAUACCAUGAGUAACUUACUUAAAAUCUCCAUACCUUGUCCCAUUCUCUCUUACCUGUUCCAAUACUUAUUUAUGAUGUUGAUAGAUGAUCUCCCUCUACUAGACUGGAAGCUCCUUGACAGCGGGGAUUCUUGUCUGUUUUGUUCACUGCUGUGUCUUUAGCACCUGGAGAAAUGCCUGGCACACAGCAGGAACUCAGUAAAUAACUGCUGAAUAAAUAAACAUGAAUAAAUCAA